AAUGAACGCUGGCGGCGUGCCUAAUACAUGCAAGUCGAGCGAACAGACGAGGAGCUUGCUCCUCUGACGUUAUCGGCGGACGGGUGAGUAACUCGUGGAUAACCUACCUAUCAGACUGGGGUAACUUCGGGAAACCGGGUCUAAUACCGGAUAAUAUAUUGAACUGCAUUGUUCAAUAGUGAAAGACGGUUUUGCUUUCACUUAUAGAUUGAUCCGCGUCGCAUUAGCUAGUUGGUAAGGUAACGGCUUACCAAGGCAACGAUGCGUAGCCGACCUGAGAGGGUGGUCGGACACACUGGAACUGAGACACGGUCCAGACUCCUACGGGAGGCAGCAGUAGGGAAUCUUCCGCAAUGGGCGAAAGCUUGACGGAGCAACGCCGCGUGAGUGAUGAAGGUCUUCGGAUCGUAAAACUCUGUUAUUAGGGAAGAACAAAUGUGUAAGUAACUAUGCACGUCUUGACGGUACCUAAUCAGAAAGCCACGGCUAACUACGUG
This 497-nucleotide ribosomal RNA is filed under the name uncultured bacterium. RNAcentral describes it as "partial 16S ribosomal RNA". It matches the Rfam family "Bacterial small subunit ribosomal RNA", at positions 29 to 507 of the family's 1533-position model. The record is from RNAcentral.